GCUGGGUGUGGGGGUGCACACCUGUCAUCCCAGCAGCUCAGGAGGCUGAGGCAGGAGGAUCGUCAGGUGGAGGCCAGCCUCAGCCACUUAGCAACUCAGUGACAUCCUGUCUCUA
RNAcentral lists this small RNA (115 nucleotides) under Marmota monax (woodchuck). Lineage: Eukaryota; Metazoa; Chordata; Mammalia; Rodentia; Sciuridae. The record is from RNAcentral.